AUACGGGGGGUGCAAGCGUUAUUCGGAAUUAUUGGGCGUAAAGGGCGCGUAGGCGGUCUUGUCGGUCAGAUGUGAAAGCCCGGGGCUCAACCCUGGAAGUGCAUUUGAAACAGCAAGACUCGAGUACGGGAGAGGAGAGCGGAAUUCCUGGUGUAGAGGUGAAAUUCGUAGAUAUCAGGAGGAACACCGAUGGCGAAGGCAGCUCUCUGGACCGAUACUGACGCUGAGGCGCGAAGGCGUGGGUAGCGAACAGGAUUAGAAACCCCAGUAGUCC
This 274-nucleotide ribosomal RNA is filed under the name uncultured bacterium. Its description in RNAcentral is "partial 16S ribosomal RNA". It matches the Rfam family "Bacterial small subunit ribosomal RNA", at positions 523 to 796 of the family's 1533-position model. The record is from RNAcentral.